This 744-nucleotide ribosomal RNA is filed under the name uncultured prokaryote. Its description in RNAcentral is "bacterial SSU rRNA". It matches the Rfam family "Bacterial small subunit ribosomal RNA", at positions 28 to 790 of the family's 1533-position model. The record is from RNAcentral.
GAUGAACGCUGACAGAAUGCUUAACACAUGCAAGUCGAUUCGAUUUACCUUCGGGUAUUGAGGAUGGCGGACGGGUGAGUAACGCGUAAGGAACUUGCCUCUUGGUCUGGGACAACUGUUGGAAACGACAGCUAAUACCGGAUAUUAUGAGAUUCUCGCAUGGGAAACUUAUGAAAGCUAUAUGCGCCAAGAGAGAGCCUUGCGUUCCAUUAGCUAGUUGGUGGGGUAACGGCCCACCAAGGCGACGAUGGAUAGCCGGCCUGAGAGGGUGAACGGCCACAAGGGGACUGAGACACGGCCCUUACUCCUACGGGAGGCAGCAGUGGGGAAUAUUGGACAAUGGGCCACAAGCCUGAUCCAGCAAUUCUGUGUGCACGAUGAAGGUCUUCGGAUUGUAAAGUGCUUUCAGUUGGGAAGAAGAAAGUGACGGUACCAACAGAAGAAGCGACGGCUAAAUACGUGCCAGCAGCCGCGGUAAUACGUAUGUCGCAAGCGUUAUCCGGAUUUAUUGGGCGUAAAGCGCGUCUAGGCGGAAAAAUAAGUCUGAUGUUAAAAUGCGGGGCUCAACUCCGUAUUGCGUUGGAAACUGUUUUUCUAGAGUACUGGAGANGUGGGCGGAACUACAAGUGUAGAGGUGAAAUUCGUAGAUAUUUGUAGGAAUGCCGAUGGAGAANUCAGCUCACUGGNNAGAUACUGACGCUAAAGCGCGAAAGCGUGGGGAGCAAACAGGAUUANAUACCCUGG